UGCGGCUCGUCCUUCUACAUUUCUUGGUCCCCUGACCGGGAAUCGAGGUAACUGAGGGAUGGCCGAGGUAGCCCCUUAGGCAGCUUAGGCCUGCCCUGUGGAGCAUCCCUGCAGGGGACUCUGGCCAGCCUGAGUGACGUGAUCCAAAGAGCACUCCUGGGUAGAAAAUUGCCUGGGUGGAACGCCUCACCAGAACAGCACGUAGCAGGCCCCUGUGGAGGAUUAACACAGUGGCUGAACACCGGGAAGGAACUGGCACUUGGAGUCCGGACAUCUGAAACUUGGACUGUGAAUGCAGCCCGUGAAAAAGAGGGUUUUCGGAAGCUUGACAUUUAUG
RNAcentral lists this long non-coding RNA (337 nucleotides) under Homo sapiens (human). RNAcentral's name for it is "non-protein coding LINC01320:6". Lineage: Eukaryota; Metazoa; Chordata; Mammalia; Primates; Hominidae. The record is from RNAcentral.